GUGAACGCUGGCGGUAGGCCUAACACAUGCAAGUCGAACGGCAGCACAGUAAGAGCUUGCUCUUACGGGUGGCGAGUGGCGGACGGGUGAGGAAUACAUCGGAAUCUACUUUUUCGUGGGGGAUAACGUAGGGAAACUUACGCUAAUACCGCAUACGACCUACGGGUGAAAGCAGGGGAUCUUCGGACCUUGCGCGAUUGAAUGAGCCGAUGUCGGAUUAGCUAGUUGGCGGGGUAAAGGCCCACCAAGGCGACGAUCCGUAGCUGGUCUGAGAGGAUGAUCAGCCACACUAGAACUGAGACACGGUCCAGACUCCUACGGGAGGCAGCAGUGGGGAAUAUUGGACAAUGGGCGCAAGCCUGAUCCAGCCAUACCGCGUGGGUGAAGAAGGCCUUCGGGUUGUAAAGCCCUUUUGUUGGGAAAGAAAAGCAGCAGGUUAAUACCCCGCUGUUCUGACGGUACCCAAAGAAUAAGCACCGGCUAACUUCGUG
This 491-nucleotide ribosomal RNA is filed under the name uncultured bacterium. Its description in RNAcentral is "partial 16S ribosomal RNA". It matches the Rfam family "Bacterial small subunit ribosomal RNA", at positions 29 to 507 of the family's 1533-position model. The record is from RNAcentral.